CCAGACUCCUACGGGAGGCAGCAGUAAGGAAUAUUGGUCAAUGGGCGAGAGCCUGAACCAGCCAAGUCGCGUGAGGGAAGACGGUCCUAUGGAUUGUAAACCUCUUUUGCCGGGGAGCAAAAAGCGGUACGCGUACCGCAUCGAGAGUACCCGGAGAAAAAGCAUCGGCUAACUCCGUGCCAGCAGCCGCGGUAAUACGGAGGAUGCGAGCGUUAUUCGGAUUUAUUGGGUUUAAAGGGUGCGUAGGCGGUCCGUUAAGUCAGCGGUAAAAAUUCGGGGCUCAACCCCGUCGUGCCGUUGAAACUGAUGUUCUUGAGUGGGCGAGAAGUAUGCGGAAUGCGUGGUGUAGCGGUGAAAUGCAUAGAUAUCACGCAGAACUCCGAUUGCGAAGGCAGCAUACCGGCGCCCAACUGACGCUGAAGCACGAAAGCGCGGGUAUCGAACAGGAUUAGAUACCCGAGUAUA
Molecule: ribosomal RNA, 465 nt
Filed under: uncultured bacterium
Lineage: Bacteria
Description: bacterial SSU rRNA
Rfam family: Bacterial small subunit ribosomal RNA
Source: RNAcentral